Molecule: ribosomal RNA, 433 nt
Filed under: uncultured bacterium
Lineage: Bacteria
Description: partial 16S ribosomal RNA
Rfam family: Bacterial small subunit ribosomal RNA
Source: RNAcentral
AACGAACCCUGGCGGCAUGCCUAACACAUGCAAGUCGAACGAGACCUUCGGGUCUAGUGGCGCACGGGUGCGUAACGCGUGGGAACCUGCCCUUAGGUUCGGAAUAACUCCCCGAAAGGGGUGCUAAUACCGGAUAAUGUCUUCGGACCAAAGAUUUAUCGCCUUUGGAUGGGCCCGCGUUGGAUUAGCUAGUUGGUAGGGUAAAAGCCUACCAAGGCGACGAUCCAUAGCUGGUCUGAGAGGAUGAUCAGCCACACUGGGACUGCGACACGGCCCAGACUCCUACGGGAGGCAGCAGUGGGGAAUAUUGGACAAUGGGCGAAAGCCUGAUCCAGCAAUGCCGCGUGAGUGAUGAAGGCCUUAGGGUUGUAAAGCUCUUUUACCCGGGAUGAUAAUGACAGUACCGGGAGAAUAAGCUCCGGCUAACUCCGUG